Choloepus didactylus (southern two-toed sloth) is the source of this 1087-nucleotide long non-coding RNA. RefSeq lists it as uncharacterized. NCBI's taxonomy places the organism in Eukaryota, Metazoa, Chordata, Mammalia, Pilosa, Megalonychidae. The transcript is spliced from 5 exons. The record is from RefSeq and is a predicted model, not a curated record.
UGUAGGGUUACAGAACAAUCAUGUCUAAAUGAGAGUUUCCAUGUACCACCCUAUUGCACUAGUGUGGUAUAUUUGUUACAAUUCAUGAAAGAACAUUUUUAUAAUUGUACUAUUAACUAUUGUCUAUUAAAGGGCUCACUGUGUGUACAGUCCUAUGGCUUUUUUUUAAAAAUUUUUGUUCUUGUAACAUAUAUAUAUAAAACAUACGUCUAACCUACAGUUCUUAAGAAUCUCCACAUCUCUCUCCCUGCUGCCACAAGACCAGCUGUGACCCCCGUGGAGGCUGCGCUGUAGUGCAGGUCCAAAAGAGAAGACCCAAAGCCAACUCAUGUGGGCCUGGAAUGUGGGUUGUGUAGAACUCCAAUAUAAGAAACAUGUACAAAAGAGGCUGUAACAUAAAAGGCUUCUGAAAGAUCUCCAUGUGCAAAUGGCUCCCCAGUCAGACAUUUGAAGAGUAAAAGGUUGAAGGGGCUGCUGCCCAAGCCUGCAUUUCAUGAAUAUUUAGAAUUAAGAAAUGGAUCUCCUUAUCACAUUCUGUGAUGCUCAACAGGGGCUACCGUCCUGGUCAGCACAGCAGCUCCAAAGAAUGGGGAUCAAAGCUGAGCAGCCAGAACCCUCAAAACUGAAUGUGUGGAGCAUUCUUCUCCUGAGCAGGGCAAGACCCCGAUCGCCGGUGCUGGGGUCAGCAACUGGCAGAGAAAAAACAUUCUUCUCAAGAGCUGUAAUGAGAUCACUGAAGAGUGCCGUCUUCUGGGAUUUGGAAUUAAUGACACCAGGCCUUGCCAACACAGUGCCUUUGGGUCUUGGGAGCUCAUAAAGCAAGCUUCCUGCCAAGGGAUAUGCAAGCCAGGAGAAUGCUUUGGCCGAGGAUUGAACCUAUGUACAUGCAGGUGAAUGUUUAACAACCCACUGGGGUGGGGAUUAGCUUAUUUCAUUGGGGUAAAUACUCCCACUGUAUCCCAGAGGUCACAGAACGCAGAGCCGGGAGGGGGUGCAGCCACCACCAUUAUAUAUUGUCUGUACACACAAGUGCGACAGCCACCUGGAGCCACCAGAGCAGAGAUAAGAGUAAAGUGUUGUAAAAGCC